UGGCGAACGAACAGGGAAGAGCUCAGAUUGUAUAUCGGGGCCUCUGGCUUCGAAUUGUAGUCUCGAAAUGCAACGCCAACGGAGGCGCAGAUUUAAGCCCCUUGAAAGAGAGCGCCGACGAGGGUGAGAGUCCCGUUUGUCAAUCUGCAGCCCUCCGUACACGGCUUGCACUUGCAGAGUCACGUUCCUCGGGAUUGGAGCGCAAAGUGGGUGGUAAAUUUCAUCUAAAGCUAAAUACGUGUUUGAGACCGAUAGCACACAAGUACCAUGAGGGAAAGAUGAAAAGGACUUUGAAAAGAGAGUUAAAAGUGCCUGAAAUUGCUGCAAGGGAAGCGGAUGGAACCAGUCCACACGGUGAGAUUGUUGGGUGGAGGCGAAGGGAGUUGCACUUUCAACGCAAGUGUGAGUGUGAGUUCUGGUCGUCUCUCGCCCGGUGGUUCUUGCCGUGGGGGUCAUUGGUGAUUGGUGGCCGAGGAUACCUGCAAAGGCAUGGUAGCCCGUCUCCGGGUGGGUGAACGCGUUUGUUAUGUACUCGGCCGCUGAUCAUGUGAGUGGUGUCCGGUAACCGGCGAACGACUUCGGUGGCCCAGCCGCUUGGGUUGAUCGUGGGUCCUGACACACGUCUACGACCAUAUGGUUCUUUCCGACCCGUCUUGAAACACGGACCAAGGAGUCUAGCAUAUGUGCGAGUGCUUGGGCUGCAAACCCAUGCGCGCAACGAAAGUGACUGCUGAGAUCUUUGCACCAGCAACCGACUGAUCAAUUGCGAGACGUUUGAGUGUGAGCAUAUCUGUUAGGACCCGAAAGAUGGUGAACUAUGCCUGUGAAGGGUGAACCCAGGGGAAACUCUGGUGGAGGCUCGUAGCGAUACUGACGUGCAAAUCGUUCGUCAUACAUGGGUAUAGGGGCGAAAGACUAAUCGAACCAUCUAGUAGCUGGUUCCCUCCGAAGUUUCCCUCAGGAUAGCUGGAGUUGAACAGUUUUAUCAGGUAAAGCGAAUGAUUAGAGGAAUUGGGGACGCGUUGUCUUCGACCUAUUCUCAAACUUUAAAUGGGUAAGAUCGAUUAGUUACUUAAUUGAACUUUUCGGACAAAUGUCAACUCUAAGUGGGCCGUUUUUGGUAAGCAGGACUGGCGAUGAGGGAUGAACCUAACGUUCGGAUAAAGUGCUUAACUGCUCGCUCAUCAGAUACCAUAAAGGGUGUUGGUUCAUUUUAACAGCAGGACGUG
RNAcentral lists this ribosomal RNA (1229 nucleotides) under Margalefidinium polykrikoides. RNAcentral describes it as "eukaryotic LSU rRNA". It matches the Rfam family "Eukaryotic large subunit ribosomal RNA", at positions 87 to 1249 of the family's 3401-position model. The record is from RNAcentral. Lineage: Eukaryota; Dinophyceae; Gymnodiniales; Gymnodiniaceae.